Long non-coding RNA from Ornithorhynchus anatinus (platypus), 314 nucleotides. RefSeq lists it as uncharacterized. Lineage: Eukaryota; Metazoa; Chordata; Mammalia; Monotremata; Ornithorhynchidae. The transcript has 3 exons. The record is from RefSeq and is a predicted model, not a curated record.
UCUCUCCCUCUCUCUCUCUUUUGUGAGUUAUAGCAACCGUUGCCUUGUGAAUCAAGCGCCAUAGUCACCGUAGUCCUGGCGACUGUUACCCAUCAACAACAACUACUCCUCUCCUCCUCCUCCUCACCACCACCAUCUCCAUCACCCGCCACCGCCACCGCCACCGCCACAAUAAUCCACGGCCAAGCUUAUGACGCGUAGGGCGGAGAGAGAGUAGAAGCAGCCGCCGAAAGACAGAGCGUCAAAAAAAAAGGUCAUCAAAAUUAAGCCUCCAGGGAGCCCCCGACAACCGUAAAGUCGUCAUAGUGGGUGAG